Molecule: ribosomal RNA, 614 nt
Filed under: Tannerella forsythia
Lineage: Bacteria; Pseudomonadati; Bacteroidota; Bacteroidia; Bacteroidales; Tannerellaceae
Description: bacterial SSU rRNA
Rfam family: Bacterial small subunit ribosomal RNA
Source: RNAcentral
GCCCGCAACAGGGGGAUAACCCGGCGAAAGUCGGACUAAUACCGCAUAAAACAGGGGUCCCGCAUGGGAAUAUUUGUUAAAGAUUUAUCGGUUGCGGAUGGGCAUGCGUACCAUUAGGUAGUUGGUGAGGUAACGGCUCACCAAGCCAUCGAUGGUUAGGGGUUCUGAGAGGAAGGUCCCCCACACUGGUACUGAGACACGGACCAGACUCCUACGGGAGGCAGCAGUGAGGAAUAUUGGUCAAUGGGCGAGAGCCUGAACCAGCCAAGUCGCGUGAAGGAUGACUGCCCUAUGGGUUGUAAACUUCUUUUACAAGGGAAUAAAAUGAGAUACGUGUAUUUUAUUGCAUGUACCUUGGGAAUAAGCAUCGGCUAACUCCGUGCCAGCAGCCGCGGUAAUACGGAGGAUGCGAGCGUUAUCCGGAUUUAUUGGGUUUAAAGGGUGCGUAGGUGGGCUGUUAAGUCAGCGGUGAAAGUUUGUCGCUUAACGAUAAAAUUGCCGUUGAAACUGGUAGUCUUGAGUAUAGAUGAAGUAGGCGGAAUGCGUGGUGUAGCGGUGAAAUGCAUAGAGAUCACGCAGAACUCCGAUUGCGAAGGCAGCUUACUAAGGUAUAA